RNAcentral lists this unclassified non-coding RNA (795 nucleotides) under Hevea brasiliensis (rubber tree). Lineage: Eukaryota; Viridiplantae; Streptophyta; Magnoliopsida; Malpighiales; Euphorbiaceae. The record is from RNAcentral.
UAAAGAUAUUAGAUCAUCUAUGGAGGUAUGCUAUUUCUUCUUAAUCAAUCUAAUACACUAUUCUCUCAUAUCAAUUCUAACUCGAACAUCGAAGGGUUCUCAUCGGAUUCAUACUCGAUGGAUUUCUUACCUAUUUAUUUUUUAUUUUGCAAAUCCAUACUCACAAGAAAUUUUCGUGGGCCGCAUCACAUAGAAGAUAGUUUCUCCUCCAGCUAGAGACUCUGACGAAGAAUACUUUGGAUCAUUUCCAGUUUUGAAUUUAGAAUCACCACUUAAAUAUAUCAGCAGAGUAUAAUGGGGGCUUCCCAUCCCCAAGAUAAACAUUUUCAUCAAUAUGACGUCCAAAACGCUGGCCCGCCUUAUACCUGUAGAAUCUAGAUAUUUGGAAUCAAACCAACAGCAACUUUUCCUCGAAUUAUUUAAGUCCAGACUCUCAUACUGUAUUUGCAAGAACAGGAUCAUUAGCCCACAUUCUGUCAUUGUCUCUAUAAGCUUUUCCUUUCGUUGGACCAAGACUCCCUUGAUGAACAAAUCCAAUAGAUGCUGCAGCUUUGACAAACACCUGCUUUUCCUUCCUCCGCCAUAGAUUCACCUUCCCCUCUCCUCGAAUUAUUUAAGUCCAGACUCUCAUACUGUAUUUGCAAGAACAGGAUCAUUAGCCCACAUUCUGUCAUUGUCUCUAUAAGCUUUUCCUUUCGUUGGACCAAGACUCCCUUGAUGAACAAAUCCAAUAGAUGCUGCAGCUUUGACAAACACCUGCUUUUCCUUCCUCCGCCAUAGAUUCACCUUCCCCUC